GGCCAUCCCGGCUUACCAACCCGAUGCAAACUGCGAAUACCGGAGAAUGUUAUCACGGGAGACACACGGCGGGUGCUAACGUCCGUCGUGAAGAGGGAAACAACCCAGACCGCCAGCUAAGGUCCCAAAGUCAUGGUUAAGUGGGAAACGAUGUGGGAAGGCCCAGACAGCCAGGAUGUUGGCUUAGAAGCAGCCAUCAUUUAAAGAAAGCGUAAUAGCUCACUGGUCGAGUCGGCCUGCGCGGAAGAUGUAACGGGGCUAAACCAU
Molecule: ribosomal RNA, 267 nt
Filed under: Salmonella enterica subsp. enterica serovar Matopeni
Lineage: Bacteria; Pseudomonadati; Pseudomonadota; Gammaproteobacteria; Enterobacterales; Enterobacteriaceae
Also listed under: 1 other name
Description: partial 23S ribosomal RNA
Rfam family: Bacterial large subunit ribosomal RNA
Source: RNAcentral